RNAcentral lists this long non-coding RNA (1273 nucleotides) under Marmota monax (woodchuck). Lineage: Eukaryota; Metazoa; Chordata; Mammalia; Rodentia; Sciuridae. The record is from RNAcentral.
GUUUCCAAUUUUAUUUGUUAUUAUAAAGAAAUAUUACCUUUUGAAGACAUUCACAACUAGAUAUAUGAAAUAUUUACUAAAGCAUUGAGAAAAUGCUGUUUAUGCCUUAACUAAAAUAUAAAGGAGAAUGAAAGAUAUAUGUAACUGAUAAAUUAUUUUUAUUGUGGAAAAUACAUAAUAUAAAAUCCUUUUUAAUCAUUUUUAAGUAAACAGCUCAUUGGCAUUAAGUACAUUCAUAUUGUGCAAUUAUUACUACUAUCCAUCUCUGGAAUUUUUACAUCUUCUCUAAACAAACAUCUGUAUCUAUUUACCAAUAACUCCCCAUUCUUCUUUCCCCCCACUUUCUAGCAACCACCAUUUUUCUUUCUGUCUUUGUUAAACUGAAUACUCCGGAUACCUUAAUAUAGGUGGAAUCACACGAUGUCUGUCCUUGGGAUUAGUUAGGUGAGUAUUUCAAAGUAAAAUUACAGUUAUGAAUGAGAAAGAAAGCCAAGAGAAACCCUCUGCUUCAAGUCUGUAUUUUAUUAGCUUUUAUUUUGUAUUUUUAAGGUCUCUUUCAUUCAAGUAAUUAUACCAUAGCUCCACUGCUUCCAUGCAAUGUUUAUUAUUGAUAGUGACCUCUAAUAUGCUUUCAGAAUUAUGGGGAUAUUAUUGGUGAAGUUCUUUUUAUUCUACAAGUGAAUCAGUUGACUAUUUGGAUUAACAGUGUAGGUCUAAAAGUUUCAUAUAAGUUGUAGAUGAGAAAAUAUUUCUAAAUGUUUUUGUUGAAUAGUCAUAUAAUGAUGGUGGUAUCUUUUUGAGUCUUUGCAAUACUCUAACAAAAAGGAUAACCAAAAGGAUAUUUUUCAGUUUUAUUAUUUCUGAUAUUCAAAGUAUUAAAUGAUUUGUUUUGUAGAAAAUUAUGGGAACUCUUAUUUUUUAUUACUAUUUGUCAAGAUGAUUCCAUAUGUCUGCCCUAAACUAGAUAAAGUAAAAAUUACCACAGGGUUUUCCAUGUAAUUUGGUGUUUUAUUUUAGAAAAAGCUAAAAGAAAAAGGUUGAAACAACUGAAUUAAUCUCCUGUGACCAACAUCCAGAAUAAGGUUUUAAAACUACUCUUGAUCAUCUGAGUUUGAGGAUUCAGUUUAUACAGUUUUUUAAAAUUUAUUUAUUUAAAAAAUUUUUUUAAUGAUAGACACAAUAGCUUUAUUUUACUAAUUUAUUUUUUUAUGUGAUGCUGAGGAUCGAACCCAUGCCUCAUGCAUGCUAGGCAAACACUCUACUACUGAGCCAC